AGCGGUGGAAUGCGCAGAUAUCAGGAGGAACACCGAUGGCGAAGGCAGAUCUCUGGGCCGUAACUGACGCUGAGGAGCGAAAGGGUGGGGAGCAAACAGGCUUAGAUACCCUGGUAGUCCACCCCGUAAACGUUGGGAACUAGUUGUGGGGUCCAUUCCACGGAUUCCGUGACGCAGCUAACGCAUUAAGUUCCCCGCCUGGGGAGUACGGCCGCAAGGCUAAAACUCAAAGGAAUUGACGGGGACCCGCACAAGCGGCGGAGCAUGCGGAUUAAUUCGAUGCAACGCGAAGAACCUUACCAAGGCUUGACAUAUACGAGAACGGGCCAGAAAUGGUCAACUCUUUGGACACUCGUAAACAGGUGGUGCAUGGUUGUCGUCAGCUCGUGUCGUGAGAUGUUGGGUUAAGUCCCGCAACGAGCGCAACCCUCGUUCUAUGUUGCCAGCACGUAAUGGUGGGAACUCAUGGGAUACUGCCGGGGUCAACUCGGAGGAAGGUGGGGAUGACGUCAAAUCAUCAUGCCCCUUAUGUCUUGGGCUUCACGCAUGCUACAAUGGCCGGUACAAAGGGCUGCAAUACCGCGAGGUGGAGCGAAUCCCAAAAAGCCGGUCCCAGUUCGGAUUGAGGUCUGCAACUCGACCUCAUGAAGUCGGAGUCGCUAGUAAUCGCAGAUCAGCAACGCUGCGGUGAAUACGUUCCCGGGUCUUGUACACACCGCCCGUCAAGUCAUGAAAGUCGGUAACACCUGAAGCCGGUGGCCUAACCCUUGUGGAGGAGC
RNAcentral lists this ribosomal RNA (779 nucleotides) under Microbacterium sp. Y930_4. RNAcentral describes it as "bacterial SSU rRNA". It matches the Rfam family "Bacterial small subunit ribosomal RNA", at positions 677 to 1453 of the family's 1533-position model. The record is from RNAcentral. Lineage: Bacteria; Bacillati; Actinomycetota; Actinomycetes; Micrococcales; Microbacteriaceae.